This 73-nucleotide transfer RNA is filed under the name Escherichia coli. RNAcentral's name for it is "tRNA-Gly". It matches the Rfam family "tRNA". From Rfam's summary of the family: Transfer RNA (tRNA) molecules are approximately 80 nucleotides in length. Their secondary structure includes four short double-helical elements and three loops (D, anti-codon, and T loops). Lineage: Bacteria; Pseudomonadati; Pseudomonadota; Gammaproteobacteria; Enterobacterales; Enterobacteriaceae. The record is from RNAcentral.
GCGGGAAUAGCUCAGUUGGUAGAGCACGACCUUGCCAAGGUCGGGGUCGCGAGUUCGAGUCUCGUUUCCAGUU